This 253-nucleotide ribosomal RNA is filed under the name uncultured bacterium. RNAcentral describes it as "partial 16S ribosomal RNA". It matches the Rfam family "Bacterial small subunit ribosomal RNA", at positions 524 to 776 of the family's 1533-position model. The record is from RNAcentral.
UACGUGGGGUGCAAGCGUUGUUCGGAAUUACUGGGCGUAAAGCGUGUGUAGGCGGCUCACUAAGUCUGGUGUGAAAUCCCCAAGCUUAACUUGGGAACUGCAUCGGAAGCUGGUGAGCUCGAGUCCGGGAGAGGGUAGCGGAAUUCCUGGUGUAGAGGUGAAAUUCGUAGAUAUCAGGAGGAACACCGGUGGCGAAGGCGGCUACCUGGACCGGUACUGACGCUGAGACACGAAAGCGUGGGGAGCAAACAGG